CAGGUACUUCUUUCGUCCUAAAAUUCUUGAUUUAGAUUUGUUUAAACAUGAAUGUAUCUAAUUACGUUUUACUAUUUAGAUACAUUUAUUUUUAGACAAAUUUAAGACAAGAAUUUUGAGACGGAGGGAGUACUUA
Non-coding RNA from Hordeum vulgare subsp. vulgare (domesticated barley), 136 nucleotides. NCBI's taxonomy places the organism in Eukaryota, Viridiplantae, Streptophyta, Magnoliopsida, Poales, Poaceae. The record is from Rfam.